RNAcentral lists this ribosomal RNA (593 nucleotides) under uncultured Lachnospiraceae bacterium. RNAcentral describes it as "bacterial SSU rRNA". It matches the Rfam family "Bacterial small subunit ribosomal RNA", at positions 87 to 698 of the family's 1533-position model. The record is from RNAcentral. Lineage: Bacteria; Bacillati; Bacillota; Clostridia; Lachnospirales; Lachnospiraceae.
GUGACUGAGUGGCGGACGGGUGAGUAACGCGUGGGUAACCUGCCUCAUACAGGGGGAUAACAGUUAGAAAUGACUGCUAAUACCGCAUAAGACCACAGCACCGCAUGGUGCAGGGGUAAAAACUCCGGUGGUAUGAGAUGGACCCGCGUCUGAUUAGGUAGUUGGUGGGGUAACGGCCUACCAAGCCGACGAUCAGUAGCCGACCUGAGAGGGUGACCGGCCACAUUGGGACUGAGACACGGCCCAAACUCCUACGGGAGGCAGCAGUGGGGAAUAUUGCACAAUGGGGGAAACCCUGAUGCAGCGACGCCGCGUGAGCGAUGAAGUAUUUCGGUAUGUAAAGCUCUAUCAGCAGGGAAGAAAAUGACGGUACCUGACUAAGAAGCACCGGCUAAAUACGUGCCAGCAGCCGCGGUAAUACGUAUGGUGCAAGCGUUAUCCGGAUUUACUGGGUGUAAAGGGAGCGUAGACGGAGUGGCAAGUCUGAUGUGAAAACCCGGGGCUCAACCCCGGGACUGCAUUGGAAACUGUCAAUCUGGAGUACCGGAGAGGUAAGCGGAAUUCCUAGUGUAGCGGUGAAAUGCGUAGAUAUU